UCUUUAAAGUGUUAGCUGAACUGUUCCCUAUUCUUCCCUUCUAAACACAAGAGCGUGUGGGUUGGUUCCACUGGUGAAGAAUCCAGCCCAUCAGCAAAGGGCCGCCGAGCCUCUAUUGUGAGUCAAGAUAAGGACUAUCUUCUUCCCUCCCUCUUGGUGUUCUCCACUGGCUAAACCUGUCAUUGCAAGCUAUGCAUAUGAACAACGUGUCCUGCCACAUAGGAAUAUGGCUGAUAUGUGAAAACAUGAUGCAUCUUAUUGAGUGGGGAAAAGAAGUGGUCUUCUACACCAGAGUCUCUUUAGAUUGGCCACUAAGCGGUUAAAUUAAUUGCCCAGAUCUGAGGAAGCCUGUUCCAAAAGAAGGCAUUGACUGGAAUAAGGUUUUGCUACAGACACAAGCUGAUGUGCUUGCAGCAAAGAUUGC
Molecule: long non-coding RNA, 424 nt
Filed under: Struthio camelus australis
Lineage: Eukaryota; Metazoa; Chordata; Aves; Struthioniformes; Struthionidae
Description: lncRNA (ENSSCUG00000004108.1)
Source: RNAcentral